AUCAAUCUCAAUAUGCUUAGUUUUUUCAUGAAACACGGGAUUAAAAGCAAUAUAAAGAGCAACUUGAUUGUCACACCACAACUUUGCUGGUAUUGGAGCCUUAAGACCAACUUCAGUUAAAAGCUGAUAUAUCCACAUUAUCUCAUAUACAGACUAUGUCGUAGCUCUAUAUUAUGAUUCUGCAUUGGAUCGGGAGAACAUUUUGCUUUUUAUUUUUCCAUGAGACCAAAUUUCUUCCAACAAAAACACAGUAGCUAGUAGUGGAUCUUCAGUCAAUCUUGGAACCUGCUGAAUCUGCAUCUGAAAAACAUUCGAUGUAUGUCCAUGAUUUUUGUACAGCAUUCCAUGUCCAGGAGCUCCCUUUAAAUGGCACAAGAUCUAUUCUAAAGCUGCCCAAUCGUGAAUUGUUGGGAAAGACAUAAAUUGACUUACAACACUACAGGAUACGUAUAUCAAGACGGGUUACUGUAAGAUAAUUAAAUUCCAACCAGUCUUCUAUACUUCUCAGGAUCUUCAAAUAAGUCACCAUCUUUGGUAAGUUGCAAAUUAGGAAGCAUUGGAGUGCUGCUUGACUUAGCUCCCAACUUUCCUGUCUCAAUUAAUAAGUUAAGCACAUAUUUUCUUUGAAAUAAGAAGAUGCCUUCUUGCUUCUUGUCACCUCGACUCCCAAGAAAUGCUUCUACACUCCUAAAUCUUUCAUGUGAAAUUGGGCGUGAAGAAAGGACUUUAGAGAUAAAAUUCCCAUAUUAUCAGUGCCAGUUAUAACAAUAUCAUCAACAUAUAUAACAAGAAGAAGAAUAUCAAAUUUGGACUGUUUGUAGAAGACUGAGUGGUCAGACUUGCUCUUUUGCAUUUCAAACUUUUUCACUGCCUGAUUAAAUUUUCCAAACCAAGCACGUGGACUUUGUUCCAAACCAUAUAAUGACUUUCGAAAAUGACGCACUUUCCCAUACUCACCCUGACACCCAUUUACAUCCAAUAGCUUUUUUUCCUGUAAGUAAAUUUUACUAGAUCCCAAGUACCAAUAGCAUUUAAAGCGUUAAUUUCUUCUAUAAUAGUAUCACACCAAUCAGUAUGGGAUAGGGCUUCAUGAACAGUUUUCAAAAGAGUCACAGAGUAUAUGGAAGUAACAAAAGAACAAGAAGAAAAGGACAAGCAAUUAUGAAAAACAAAGGAUGAAAUAAGAUACGUGCACUGAUGUUUACCUUUGCGAAGAGCAAUAUGUAGAUUAAGAUCAUUGGACACUAGAUCUGAUGCCGAAGAAGAGUUAGGUGUUGAACAUGCAUCAGAAGGGUUUUGUCGUCUAGAAUACACCUGGUGUAUAGGUGGUGGUGUGGGACAGUAGGUGUAGAAGCAACAUUAGUUGACUGGUAAGUGACAUGAUAAACCAGCAAAUCAUCAUCCUCCCCUUUACUGAAAGAAGUAUAAGAAGUAGGAAAGAAAUGAACAUGUUCCAAAAAGGUAACAUUGGCUGACACAAUAUACUUGUUAAGACACGAACAGUAGCAUCGGUACCCUUUUUGUAGAUGAGAAUAGCCCAAAAAAAUACAUUUUAAGGAUUUGGGAUCUAAUUUAGUUACAUGGAAACGAACAUCAUGAACAUUAACAAGUGCUACCAAAAAUUCUAAGUUCAAUAGAAAACAAAAGUUUAGUAGGAAAAGAGCACUAUAAGAAGUCUUACCAUGAAGAACGGAUGAAGGAAUUCAAUUAAUCAAGAAAUAGGCUAUGGAGACUGCAUCAACCCAAAAUUAUUUAGGAACAUGUAUUUGAAAUAGAAGUGUCCUGGCUGUCUCAAGAAGAUGUCCAUUUUUUUGUUCAGCCACGCCAUUUUGAGAGGGUGUGUCAACAUACAAGAAUUGAUAAAGAAUACUAUUUUGAAGCAUGUAAGUCUGGAAAGAAUCGAAAAAAUAUUCUUUGGCAUUAUCACUUCUCAGUGUAUGUACUGAAAUAUUAAGCUGUGUUUUAAUUUCAGCACAAAAGGCACUAAAAUGAUAAAAUAAUUUCGAUCGAUUCUUCAUUAAAUAAAAUCAAGUCACACAAGAAAAAUCAUCAACGAAGAUAACAAAAUACCGAAAUCCAAUUUUAGAUACAAGACAAAAACCUAAAACAUCUUAAUGGACCAACUUGAAACCCAAAACAUCUGAAUGGACAACUCAAAAGGAAAAUUAGUUUUUUUAUUGACUUGAGUACCUAAGGACAGACGAUGAUAUUUCGCAUAUGACUCACAAUUUAAAGACGAUAAAUUCUGAAACUGAGGACAUAAUUUCUUUAACAAAAAUAAAGAUGGAUGUCCCAACUGACAAUGUGUUUCAAAAGGAGUUAAGAUACUGAACACGCAAUGGACUUGGGUACCUAGGUAUUCAGAAUAUAGAAACCGCCAGGUUCAUGUCAUUUACCAAUAAUCUUCUUCAUCACAAGAUCCUGAAAAAGACAGUAAUCAGGAAAAAAUGAGACAUAACAGUUUAAGGUUCGAGUAAGUUUGCUCACAGAUAUUAAAUCAAAAGAAAAUUGUGGUAGACUUAAGAUAGAGAAUAAGGAAAUUAAUGGAGUUGGAUUAAUAGUGUCAGAACUGAGAAC
RNAcentral lists this long non-coding RNA (2577 nucleotides) under Olea europaea subsp. europaea. Lineage: Eukaryota; Viridiplantae; Streptophyta; Magnoliopsida; Lamiales; Oleaceae. The record is from RNAcentral.